GGGGAUGUAGCCAAGUGCAAAGGCUCUGGGUUCAAUCCCAAGAUCCUGGGUUCAAUCCCCAGUAUAGCCA
Molecule: transfer RNA, 70 nt
Filed under: Heterocephalus glaber (naked mole-rat)
Lineage: Eukaryota; Metazoa; Chordata; Mammalia; Rodentia; Bathyergidae
Rfam family: tRNA
About the family: Transfer RNA (tRNA) molecules are approximately 80 nucleotides in length.
Source: Rfam by way of RNAcentral